UUUGGUUAAUGAACUUUAAAA
This 21-nucleotide non-coding RNA is filed under the name Caenorhabditis elegans. Lineage: Eukaryota; Metazoa; Nematoda; Chromadorea; Rhabditida; Rhabditidae. The record is from RNAcentral.